Long non-coding RNA from Labeo rohita (rohu), 1189 nucleotides. RefSeq lists it as uncharacterized. NCBI's taxonomy places the organism in Eukaryota, Metazoa, Chordata, Actinopteri, Cypriniformes, Cyprinidae. The transcript is spliced from 4 exons. The record is from RefSeq and is a predicted model, not a curated record.
AUGAGUCUGUGCUCCCCCUGAGAAGGACAGUGAGAGAUUUACACAGCUGGUCUGUGAGCACAACACAAACUCCAAACUCACGGUCCAUUCUUUCUUUCUCUUUUCAGUAUGCAGUAACAGAGGGCGGUGGGUGCAUAUUACAUUCCCUCCAGCAGUGCUCACCCCACAUCUGAUUCUUGCGAUCUGGGUGGUUUGUGUGUAUAUUGAUUCAUUCCUUCAUCAAAUAGAGUGGGGUUCGAACCCACGAGGACAUGCAUCCAUUGGAUCUUAAGUCCAACGCCUUAACCACUCGGCCAUCCUGGUCACAAUGUUGCUGUUCAGGAAGUGACACCAUGUAAAAGGGAAAACAACAAACAAACAUCAAUGCCAUAUGUCACGUUCUGAUCUAUCUGUGUGCUUAGAGCAGAUGAGUCUGACUCCAGGAUGCAGUGCGUUCAUCUCUGUGAGUUUAUCUGAGGCAGGUCUUUAAAUUCCUCUUGAGGAAGAUAAGAACUGCAAUCUUAACCUGCUCUCUUUUCAAUCUGUCUCUGUCUGUCUGUUUCCUUUUUCUCUCAGUUCAGCUCAAAGUGCUUUACAUUGCAAAAUGAAGUUUCACACUUUAAAAACAUUCCUGCAUUCCUGUUUUCCAUUUUCCGUUUCAAUUAAAGCAAAAAAAAAAGCUAAAAAAUCAAAUCAAUAGCUUUUCUCAAGUGCAAAAUGUUCAUUAAUGGAAUGUAGUGAUUUUAAGUGUGCUUCAUGAUUGUGUGAUCAGUGCUGAAGGACAUCCGCUCAAAGUCUAGAGGAACAACAGCAUGACAUGUCCUUGCUUUUGUAUCUUGACUGGCAUUACUGUAAAGGCAGACAGAUUUGAGUAUAUUUUAUAAGCUGCUCUGGGUUCAUAAAUCAAGGCAAAGCCUUUUUCAUUUACUCCUCUUUAUAGCUCUCCUCCAAACAGCUGUAAACAUCAGUGUUUUCUGGAACGUAUCAAUUUAUUGAUUGAAUCUUCUUAAAAGAAAGCUCCUUUCAUUAUUGCCACACCAGUAUAUCUGUCAAAAGCUCUGGGCAGAAACAUAAACCAUAUAUAUGUUCUCACAAAAAGAGCUUUGUGCUUAAUUAUGAGGGGUCUCAUGGAGCAGCUGUUGUUCUGUUGCAUAUUGUUUGAUGAUGAAUUAUUCUCAUUUCACUGCAUGUGAUAUAUGUGAACCAUUUA